Molecule: long non-coding RNA, 2253 nt
Organism: Monodelphis domestica (gray short-tailed opossum)
Lineage: Eukaryota; Metazoa; Chordata; Mammalia; Didelphimorphia; Didelphidae
Source: RefSeq, a predicted model, not a curated record
CGUGUAUUAUACUUCUUCAGAACCCUGAAAGAAUAAUCAGAGGGUGUGAGUUCUAUUCUAUCCAAGAGCAUAGAGAAGGAUCUCGAAUUCCCUGUGCUCCAGUUGACUGAGUUAAGCAACCCAUGAUCUCCUUUUUUAUAGAACGGAUGCCAUCCUAGCAGCCCUUCAGAGAGGUGCCAUGUAGUCAAGUAUUGGUAUAGGUUUAUGCUGACUUUCCCUUAAUACGUACGGUUUGGCCUCAGGUGAUGAGGUUCUGAAUCCGAGGUGGCAGGCAGGAGGAGCGCCAAGAAAGGGGCAUAUCUGAGAGAGUGAGAGCAUCUGCAAGCCUAAAACUGAGAGGACUGGACACAGAGGGAUGAGAUGGUGAAGAAUCCAGGAUGACUCCUGGGCUGGGAACCUGAGGGUCUGAGAAGAGGAUAUUGUCCUCUAUGCAUUGGUCCUGCCUGGGUCAAGGGGAAAUCAAGUAAUUUACUUGAAAACACAGCUCCUAAUAGAAUGAACUGCUUCAAAAGCAGCCUAUGGCUGGAGAUCUUCAAGCAGAGACUUGUCUAAUAAGUUGUAGAAAGAAUUUCUCUUUCAGGUAAUAGUUUAAACGAUAUAACCUCUAAGAUCCCUCCCAACUCUGAAAUAACUCUGCAGAUGAAACAGUCCCACUUUUGAGUCUCCUCCCUGUGUAGAGGACAAGACAGUAGGAGCUGCUCUCAGAAACGGAAGUGAAAACUUCAACGUUUCAUCAGACCUUUUGUUGGCAAAAGCAUUUUAUCUGUCAUCAGCUUUCCAAAGAUACCAUGUUAAGCAGCAAUUAGAAAAAAAUCUUUCCAACCUCAGAGAAUAUUUUGAUAAUAGGAAACUAUAAAGAUGGAAAAUGGACAAUUCCACAGAGGCAAGUUCUCCUAGACACACUCACUCAGAAGAGAGGAACAACCUUUGGAAAGAGAAAGAAAAAAAUACACACAUAAGAAAAUCAUCAUAAUGAUAAUAGUAGAGAAAGUGCUGGUUUUUAUCAAAAUAAAAGGAGGGGGGAUUGAAGCAAUCAAAUUUGUGAGAAGAUGAUGAGAUAACAGGGGCAGCUAGAUGGCACCGUGGAUAGAGUCCUGAAGUCAGAAAGACUCAUGGAGAGAGAGACAGAGAGAUAGAGAUAGACAGACAGACAGACAGACAGACAGACAGAGAGUCUUUCCCCUACUGGACUGUAAGCUCUUUGAGGGCAGGAGUUAUCUUGCUUUUUUUUUUUAACCCUUACCUUCCGUCUUGGAGUCAAUACUGUGUAUUGGCUCCAAGGUAGAAGAGUGGGCUAGACAAUGGGGGUCAAGUGACUUGCCCAGGGUCCCACAGCUGGGAAGUGUCUGAGGCCAAAUUUGAACCCAGGACCCCCAUCUCUAGGUCUGGCUCUCAAUCCACUGAGCCACCCAGCUGCCUCCUCUUGCUUUUGUAUUUAUAUCCAACAAGACUCAGGAUGGAGUUUGCCACAUAGGAACCACUUUAGGCUUUUGAAUUUAUUCAUUCAUGAGAAAUGAGAGAAACAAAGUCAAUUGCUAAACAUUUAUUAAGCAUUUACUCUCUGCUGGGCAAUUUGCUAAGUGGUGAGUUCAAAAGACCAGGGUUCAAACCCUUGGUUUAGUUGCUUAUGACGACUUAUGACAAAGGGGCAAUUCUUUUCCCUUCUCUGGGCCUCAGUAUUUCCAAUUAUAAAAUAAAGAGGUUUAAGGAGAUGGCUAAGUUCCACUUCAGUUCUAUAUUUGUGAUCCUUUAGAGGAAUUGAACAAAAUGGUUUCCAAGGUCCUCUCCAGUCUCACUCUUUUGAUCCUAAUAUAGCGUCAGAAUUGAUUGCAGUGCUUUUAUAUCAAAACCCAUUGGGGCAGCAUAAAAAUAGCUGCUUUCCAUGCCAAGAAAACCCCAAAUGGGAUCAUGAAGAGUUAGAUACGAUUGAAAUGACUAAACAACAACAUUUUCUAAAUAUCCUUUAUGUUCAUCUCUUUCUUUCAAUCUAGGGAAAGUCACACUGGCUUUGGCUCAGCUUUUUUUUACAGAGAAAUCUCUCAGCAAUGUAAGCAAUAUUAUUUUCUACAGGAAUUCUUUCUAUAAUAACAACAGCUUCUCGGGCUGGUGCCUUCUUACCUUGUGUUUUGGGAUGUUGGAUAGUUCUUUGUUCAAUGAGGAAAGUCUAUAUCUCAAAAUCCACAGGGUCAUCGGAUAAAAGGAAAAGUUUCCCUGUGGGAACAACAUGAAAUAAUAACUUGGAGGAAUUUUUAA